CUACGGGGGGCUCCAGUGAGGAAUAUUGGACAAUGGUCGAAAGACUGAUCCAGCCAUGCCGCGUGCAGGAUGACUGCCCUAUGGGUUGUAAACUGCUUUUAUACGGGAAGAAAAACACCUACGUGUAGGUGACUGACGGUACCGUAAGAAUAAGGACCGGCUAACUCCGUGCCAGCAGCCGCGGUAAUACGGAGGGUCCAAGCGUUAUCCGGAAUCAUUGGGUUUAAAGGGUCCGUAGGCGGGCUAUUAAGUCAGAGGUGAAAGUUUGCAGCUCAACUGUAAAAUUGCCUUUGAUACUGAUAGUCUUGAAUUGUAGUAAAGUGGUUAGAAUAUGUGGUGUAGCGGUGAAAUGCAUAGAUAUCACAUAGAAUACCGAUUGCGAAGGCAGAUCACUAACUAUAUAUUGACGCUGAGGGACGAAAGCGUGGGGAGCGAACGGGAUUAGAUACCCUGGUAGUC
This 459-nucleotide ribosomal RNA is filed under the name uncultured bacterium. RNAcentral describes it as "partial 16S ribosomal RNA". It matches the Rfam family "Bacterial small subunit ribosomal RNA", at positions 339 to 795 of the family's 1533-position model. The record is from RNAcentral.